This 119-nucleotide ribosomal RNA is filed under the name Castor canadensis (American beaver). Lineage: Eukaryota; Metazoa; Chordata; Mammalia; Rodentia; Castoridae. The record is from RNAcentral.
GUCUACGGCCAUACCACCUGAACGCGCCCGAUCUCGUCUGAUCUCGGAAGCUAAGCAGGGUCGGGCCUGGGUUAGUACUUGGAUGGGAGACCGCCUGGGAAUACCGGGUGCUGUAGGCU